RNAcentral lists this ribosomal RNA (276 nucleotides) under Triticum aestivum (bread wheat). RNAcentral describes it as "partial small subunit ribosomal RNA". Lineage: Eukaryota; Viridiplantae; Streptophyta; Magnoliopsida; Poales; Poaceae. The record is from RNAcentral.
AUGAGCCAGUCGCGCUGCGCGGCGCCGACCGCCCGCACGGCGGCCUCGUCGAGUUUCUCUCCGAAGCACAUGAGCGCAAGGAGGAAGAACAUGGCGUGCCGGAACGCGUCCAUGACCAAGACCCCGCCGCCGUCGGGGCCGGGCUCCCGCUCCCGGAGCUUGUCCAGGAGCACGCGGCGCGCCCAGGCGCGCGCGGGCGCGAAGAGGCGGGCACGAGACGGGUGCAGCGUCUCGGAGACGAGGUGGCGGCGCAGGAGGCGCCAGGCGGGCCCGUAG